This 1810-nucleotide ribosomal RNA is filed under the name human gut metagenome. RNAcentral's name for it is "bacterial LSU rRNA". It matches the Rfam family "Bacterial large subunit ribosomal RNA", at positions 1066 to 2925 of the family's 2925-position model. The record is from RNAcentral.
GAAAAGGAUGUGGGAUUUCGAAGACAACCAGGAUGUUGGCUCAGAAGCAGCCAUUCAUUCAAAGAGUGCGUAAUAGCUCACUGGUCGAGUGAAGUUGCGCGGAAAAUUACCGGGGCUAAGCUAUACACCGAAAUUGCGGAUUUAUAUUUGAAAGACAAUGUAAGUGGUAGAGGAGCAUUCUGUAGUAGGAAGAAGCAUGACCGUAAGGACAUGUGGACGAAGCAGAAGAGAGAAUGCUGGAAUAAGUAGCGAGAGGAUGGUGAGAAUCCAUCCCGUCGAAAAUCUAAGGUUUCCCAGGGAAGGUUCGUCCGCCUGGGGUAAGUCGGGACCUAAGGAGAGGCCGAAAGGCGUAUCUGAUGGAUAGCAGGUUGAAAUUCCUGCACUACGAAUAUACUUAAAAGAUUCAAGGGACGCAGAAGUGGAAGAUAACCAAGUAAGAGGAAAAGCUUGGCUCGCAAGAGGGAGUGAAAAUUAAAAGUAACGAAGUAUCAAGAAGCACGCUGACGAGAAAAGCUUGAAGAUAUUGUAUAUAAGUACCCGUACCGCAAACCGACACAGGUAGAUGAGGAGAGGAUCCUAAGACGAGCGGGAGAAGCAUUGUUAAGGAACUCGGCAAACUAACCCCGUAACUUCGGAAUAAGGGGUGCUGAUGUAACAGUCAGUCGCAGAGAAAAGGCCCAAGCAACUGUUUAACAAAAACAUAGGUUUCUGCUAAAUCGAAAGAUGAAGUAUAGGAGCUGACGCCUGCCCAGUGCUGGAAGGUUAAGGGAAAGAGUUAGGGUUAAACCGAAGCUUAGAACUGAAGCCCCAGUGAACGGCGGCCGUAACUAUAACGGUCCUAAGGUAGCGAAAUUCCUUGUCAGGUAAGUUCUGACCCGCACGAAAGGCGUAAUGAUUUGGGCGCUGUCUCGACAAUGUCCCCGGCGAAAUUGUAGUACUAGUGAAGAUGCUAGUUACCUGCGAUAAGACAGAAAGACCCCAUGGAGCUUUACUGCAGUUUGAUACUGGGUUUCGAUGAUUUAUGUACAGGAUAGUUGGGAGACUAUGAAAGAGAGGCGUCAGCUUCUCCGGAGUCGUUGUUGGGAUACCAACCUUAAGUUAUUGAAAUUCUAACUUGUAAUCGUAAACCGGUUAGAGGACAAUGUCAGACGGGCAGUUUGACUGGGGCGGUCGCCUCCUAAAGAGUAACGGAGGCGCCCAAAGGUUUCCUCAGCGCGGACAGAAAUCGCGCGAAAGAGUGCAAAGGCAGAAGGAAGCUUAACUGAGAGACAGACAUGUCGACCAGAUACGAAAGUAGGGCUUAGUGAUCCGGUGGUUGUAAAUGGAAAUGCCAUCGCUCAACGGACAAAAGUUACCCUGGGGAUAACAGGCUUAUCUCCCCCAAGAGUUCACAUCGACGGGGAGGUUUGGCACCUCGAUGUCGGCUCAUCGCAUCCUGGAGCUGAAGUCGGUUCCAAGGGUUGGGCUGUUCGCCCAUUAAAGCGGUACGCGAGCUGGGUUCAGAACGUCGUGAGACAGUUCGGUCCCUAUCCGUUGUGGGCGCAGGAAAUUUGAGAGGAGCUGUCCUUAGUACGAGAGGACCGGGAUGGACGUACCUCUGGUGUACCGGUUGCAGACCAACUGCACAGCCGGGUAGCUAUGUAUGGAACGGAUAAACGCUGAAGGCAUCUAAGCGUGAAGCCGCCCUCAAGAUAAGAUUUCCCAUUCUUCGGAAGUAAGAUCCCUUAAAGAUAAUGAGGUUGAUAGGUUGGAGGUGUAAGCAUGGUAACAUGUUCAGCUGACCAAUACUAAUAGAUCGAGGGCUUGACCA